Ochotona princeps (American pika) is the source of this 722-nucleotide long non-coding RNA. RefSeq lists it as uncharacterized. The record is from RefSeq and is a predicted model, not a curated record. Lineage: Eukaryota; Metazoa; Chordata; Mammalia; Lagomorpha; Ochotonidae. The transcript is spliced from 3 exons.
AGGAUUUGGUAUAUUACAGCUUCACCUGCUUUUCCAGAUUUUUUGUGAAGGCUGAAGCAAUGCAAAUGUCUAGUAUAGGACAAAAAUGGGACUUAACAGCAUUUUGAAGUCAAAGUACAAGAAAUACUAGAUGCAAAACAUCACAACUUUUCCAGAGAUCUCUGCAAGUUAACCAGAUUGCUUCAACCUACGACAAAGGAGCAGGAACACGUGGACUUCAGUUGUGCUCCAUGAUGCGGGCAGUAUCAUGAAGCAGCACGGAUUUCACCAAGUGAUUCUACAGAAGAGCCAUUGGUAUUCAACUCCAGUCUACCUUCCUGACUUUGAUUCCAAUUGCUGGCUCCAGGGCAACUGCUGAGACUUCACACCUACGCAGAUAUCCUUUUUUAUCUUCUUUUUUUAUGUUCUCCUGUAAAGGCACUGUCCUUCUCUGCUACCGUCUGCAACCACAGUCAUAGCCUUAAUACUGCAAUAGGUUUAGCAGUAGUCACCUCCACUGACUGAAGAAGUCCCCUUAGCAAUCUCCUUCCUAUCUGGGAAGGACACUUUACUCCUAACUUUUAUCAGUCUCAAUCUCCCACAUGCCUCUCAAAAUUCAUACAUACCUCUCACCAACAUUUUAUAUACUAUAUUCGUAAAUAUAAUCCCAUUAUGUAUUCAUGUUAGGUCUGUAUACACUGUCCAGAGUACUGGAAGGAAAUGCCCCACCCCUUUACUCUGGG